RNAcentral lists this ribosomal RNA (379 nucleotides) under uncultured eukaryote. RNAcentral describes it as "partial 18S ribosomal RNA". It matches the Rfam family "Eukaryotic small subunit ribosomal RNA", at positions 592 to 975 of the family's 1831-position model. The record is from RNAcentral.
CAAUAGCGUAUAUUAAAGUUGUUGCGGUUAAAAAGCUCGUAGUUGGAUUUCUGCCGAGGACGACCGGUCCGCCCUCUGGGUGUGUAUCUGGUUUGGCCUGGGCAUCUUCUUGGAGAACGUAGCUGCACUUGACUGUGUGGUGCGGUGUCCAGGACUUUUACUUUGAGGAAAUUAGAGUGUUUCAAGCAGGCACACGCCUUGAAUACAUUAGCAUGGAAUAAUAAGAUAGGACCUCGGUUCUAUUUUGUUGGUUUCUAGAGCUGAGGUAAUGAUUAAUAGGGAUAGUUGGGGGCAUUCGUAUUUAACUGUCAGAGGUGAAAUUCUUGGAUUUGUUAAAGACGGACUACUGCGAAAACAUUUGCCAAGGAUGUUUUCAUUG